UUGUAUUGGUUUUGCCAUACAUCAUUUUUUAAAAAAGAUUCUGACAUGGAAAUUGAUCUCCAGGAAUUGGCUGUGGCAAAGACUGGGGGUAAAGGUGGAGAUGGUCCUGAUGUCAGGGAGGAGGUUGCAUCAAAUACAGAGCCUGUUGAAAUGCCAGAAGCAGGCAAGAGUACUGGAGUGGGGUGCCAUUGCCUUCUCUGAUAAAAGCUCUAGAGAAGAUUAACUGAAGGUGAAGGGCAACCAUUUGCUUGAAAGAAGAUAAACUGGAACCAUCUAUGCUGUUCUUAUGUUGGAUAUUUGACCGUUAAAUUUCCAUCAAUAAUGUUUUCAUUUUUUACUUGCACAUUUUUUGUUAAAUUUAUCCCUGGGUAUUUAAUGUUACUGAAAAUUCAUGGUUGCGAUUUUUAUCGUCUAGUUGAGGAUGUAUGUAGAGAUAGAAUGUUUGUAUAUAGACUUUCUGUCCAACAAUUCCUCUAAAUAUGCAUAUUAAUUCCACAAAUUUAGAUCUAGAUUCUUUUUGCUUUUCAAAAUAUACUAUUAUAUUUGAAUAUCAACAGUUUCUACUGGCUUAAAUCUUAUACCUUUUCUCAUUUUGCAGCACUGAACAAACCUAGCCAGAAUAGUCUUGACUAAAGCAGGUGAUAGUCGGCAUUUUUCCUGACAGGAAAUGAAAAAUUUUCUCCAUUUCAACCUGUUUACAUUGCUUUUUUGCAGAUACACUUUCUCGGAAUAAGUUCCCUUUUAUUCCUGGUUUUCUGUCUUUAAUAUAGAUUGAUUUUCAUCAAACACUUACAGUGCAACAACUGAGAUGAUCAUAGAAUUGUUUUCCCUCCAUUUUUCUAUUAAUGUGGUGGAUUACAUUGGUAACCUUAUAGAUUUAAACCAAUCUUGAACUUCUAGGGUUAAAAAAAUUUGGUCAUGACAUAUUCUUUAUGAAUUAUCUAUGUGUUAAUACAUAUCCAUACAUAUAUAUACCCAUAUAUAAAAAAUUCAUAUAAAAGCCUUUGGUCUUCUCUUGAAUAAAUGGGU
This 1029-nucleotide long non-coding RNA is filed under the name Bos indicus x Bos taurus (hybrid cattle). RNAcentral's name for it is "lncRNA (ENSBIXG00000028812.1)". The record is from RNAcentral. Lineage: Eukaryota; Metazoa; Chordata; Mammalia; Artiodactyla; Bovidae.